This 28-nucleotide small RNA is filed under the name Bombyx mori (domestic silkworm). RNAcentral describes it as "ovarian small RNA-18565". The record is from RNAcentral. Lineage: Eukaryota; Metazoa; Arthropoda; Insecta; Lepidoptera; Bombycidae.
UAACACAUGGAAAAUCACGAGUUCACGA